This 465-nucleotide ribosomal RNA is filed under the name Vreelandella stevensii. Its description in RNAcentral is "partial 16S ribosomal RNA". It matches the Rfam family "Bacterial small subunit ribosomal RNA", at positions 338 to 795 of the family's 1533-position model. The record is from RNAcentral. Lineage: Bacteria; Pseudomonadati; Pseudomonadota; Gammaproteobacteria; Oceanospirillales; Halomonadaceae.
CCUACGGGGGGCAGCAGUGGGGAAUAUUGGACAAUGGGGGCAACCCUGAUCCAGCCAUGCCGCGUGUGUGAAGAAGGCCCUCGGGUUGUAAAGCACUUUCAGUGAGGAAGAACGCCUGGUGGUUAAUACCCAUCAGGAAAGACAUCACUCACAGAAGAAGCACCGGCUAACUCCGUGCCAGCAGCCGCGGUAAUACGGAGGGUGCGAGCGUUAAUCGGAAUUACUGGGCGUAAAGCGCGCGUAGGUGGCUUGAUAAGCCGGUUGUGAAAGCCCCGGGCUCAACCUGGGAAUGGCAUCCGGAACUGUCAAGCUAGAGUGCAGGAGAGGAAGGUAGAAUUCCCGGUGUAGCGGUGAAAUGCGUAGAGAUCGGGAGGAAUACCAGUGGCGAAGGCGGCCUUCUGGACUGACACUGACACUGAGGUGCGAAAGCGUGGGUAGCAAACAGGAUUAGAUACCCCUGUAGUC